RNAcentral lists this ribosomal RNA (252 nucleotides) under uncultured bacterium. Its description in RNAcentral is "partial 16S ribosomal RNA". It matches the Rfam family "Bacterial small subunit ribosomal RNA", at positions 524 to 776 of the family's 1533-position model. The record is from RNAcentral.
UACGUAGGUCCCGAGCGUUGUCCGGAUUUAUUGGGCGUAAAGCGAGCGCAGGUGGUUUAUUAAGUCUGGUGUAAAAUUGAGAGGCUCAACCUCUUCCCGCCGUUGAAACUGGUGGUCUUGAGUGGAUGAGAAGUACGCGGAAUGCGUGGUGUAGCGGUGAAAUGCAUAGAUAUCACGCAGAACUCCGAUUGCGAAGGCAGCGUACCGGCAUCCAACUGACGCUGAGGCACGAAAGCGUGGGGAUCAAACAGG